This 1324-nucleotide ribosomal RNA is filed under the name metagenome. Its description in RNAcentral is "bacterial LSU rRNA". It matches the Rfam family "Bacterial large subunit ribosomal RNA", at positions 1561 to 2925 of the family's 2925-position model. The record is from RNAcentral.
AGUGGAUGGGGAGCAACCUAGUUGUGCGUGUGUAAAGGUAGUGCCAAGAAAAGCGAUGAUCAUGUUGAAAAUCAAUUCCCGGUACCCGAAACCGACACAGGUGGGCAAGUAGAGAAUACUAAGGGGCGCGAGGUAACUCUCUCCAAGGAACUCGGCAAAAUGACCCCGUAACUUAGGGAGAAGGGGUGCCACCGAGAGGUGGUCGCAGUGAAGAGGCCCAGGCGACUGUUUAGCAAAAACAUAGGUCUCUGCAAACUCGAAAGAGGAGGUAUAGGGGCUGACGCCUGCCCAGUGCCGGAAGGUUAAAGAAGUUGGUCAGUUUUAGGAUGAAGCUAGCGACUGAAGCCCCGGUGAACGGCGGCCGUAACUAUAACGGUCCUAAGGUAGCGAAAUUCCUUGUCGGGUAAGUUCCGACCCGCACGAAAGGCGUAACGAUCUGGGCGCUGUCUCGGAGAGAGGCUCGGCGAAAUAGGAUUGUCUGUGAAGAUACGGACUACCUGCAUUUGGACAGAAAGACCCUAUGAAGCUUUACUAUAGCUUGGAAUUGUGUUCGGGCUUCCUGUGCGCAGGAUAGGUGGGAGGCGUAGAAGGUAUUCUUGUGGGGAUACUGGAGCCAACGGUGAGAUACCACUCUCAGGAGGCUAGAAUUCUAACUUAAUUAAGGACAGUUUCAGGUGGGUAGUUUGACUGGGGCGGUCGCCUCCAAAAAGGUAACGGAGGCGUACAAAGGUUCCCUCAGACUGGUUGGAAAUCAGUCGAAGAGUGCAAAGGCAGAAGGGAGCUUGACUGCGAGAAGUACAGUUCGAGCAGGGUGGAAACACGGUCUUAGUGAUCCAACGGUGCUGUGUGGAAGGGCCGUCGCUCAACGGAUAAAAGUUACUCUAGGAUAACAGGCUGAUCUCCCCCAAGAGUUCACAUCGACGGGGAGGUUUGGCACCUCGAUGUCGGCUCAUCGCAACCUGGGGCGGAAGUACGUCCCAAGGGUUGGGCUGUUCGCCCAUUAAAGCGGUACGUGAGCUGGGUUCAGAACGUCGUGAGACAGUUCGGUCCAUAUCCGAUGUAGGCGUGAGAAUAUUGAGAGGAGCCUUCCUUAGUACGAGAGGACCGGGAAGGACGCACCGCUGGUGUACCUGUUAUGAUGCCAAUUGUAAACGCAGGGUACCCAAGUGCGGAGAGGAUAACCGCUGAAAGCAUCUAAGUGGGAAGCCCACCUCAAGAUGAGUAUUCUGGUGUAAGGUCACGGGAAGACGACCCGUAAAUAGGCACGAGGUGGAAGUGCAGAGAUGUAUGCAGCCGAAGUGUACUAAUAGACCGUCGGCUUGAC